UUAAGUUAUUAAGGGCGCACGGUGGAUGCCUUGGCACUAGAAGCCGAUGAAGGACGUUACUAACGACGAUAUGCUUUGGGGAGCUGUAAGUAAGCUUUGAUCCAGAGAUUUCCGAAUGGGGAAACCCAGCAUGAGUUAUGUCAUGUUAUCGAUAUGUGAAUACAUAGCAUAUCAGAAGGCACACCCGGAGAACUGAAACAUCUUAGUACCCGGAGGAAGAGAAAGAAAAUUCGAUUCCCUUAGUAGCGGCGAGCGAAACGGGAAGAGCCCAAACCAACAAGCUUGCUUGUUGGGGUUGUAGGACACUCUGUACGGAGUUACAAAGGACGACAUUAGACGAAUCAUCUGGAAAGAUGAAUCAAAGAAGGUAAUAAUCCUGUAGUCGAAAAUGUUGUCUCUCUUGAGUGGAUCCUGAGUACGACGGAGCACGUGAAAUUCCGUCGGAAUCUAGGAGGACCAUCUCCUAAGGCUAAAUACUCUCUAGUGACCGAUAGUGAACCAGUACCGUGAGGGAAAGGUGAAAAGCACCCCGGAAGGGGAGUGAAAUAGAACCUGAAACCGUGUGCUUACAAGUAGUCAGAGCCCGUUAAUGGGUGAUGGCGUGCCUUUUGUAGAAUGAACCGGCGAGUUACGAUUUGAUGCAAGGUUAAGCAGUAAAUGUGGAGCCGUAGCGAAAGCGAGUCUGAAUAGGGCGUUUAGUAUUUGGUCGUAGACCCGAAACCAGGUGAUCUACCCUUGGUCAGGUUGAAGUUCAGGUAACACUGAAUGGAGGACCGAACCGACUUACGUUGAAAAGUGAGCGGAUGAACUGAGGGUAGCGGAGAAAUUCCAAUCGAACCUGGAGAUAGCUGGUUCUCUCCGAAAUAGCUUUAGGGCUAGCCUCAAGUGAUGAUUAUUGGAGGUAGAGCACUGUUUGGACGAGGGGCCCCUCUCGGGUUACCGAAUUCAGACAAACUCCGAAUGCCAAUUAAUUUAACUUGGGAGUCAGAACAUGGGUGAUAAGGUCCGUGUUCGAAAGGGAAACAGCCCAGACCACCAGCUAAGGUCCCAAAAUAUAUGUUAAGUGGAAAAGGAUGUGGCGUUGCCCAGACAACUAGGAUGUUGGCUUAGAAGCAGCCAUCAUUUAAAGAGUGCGUAAUAGCUCACUAGUCGAGUGACACUGCGCCGAAAAUGUACCGGGGCUAAACAUAUUACCGAAGCUGUGGAUUGUCCUUUGGACAAUGGUAGGAGAGCGUUCUAAGGGCGUUGAAGCAUGAUCGUAAGGACAUGUGGAGCGCUUAGAAGUGAGAAUGCCGGUGUGAGUAGCGAAAGACGGGUGAGAAUCCCGUCCACCGAUUGACUAAGGUUUCCAGAGGAAGGCUCGUCCGCUCUGGGUUAGUCGGGUCCUAAGCUGAGGCCGACAGGCGUAGGCGAUGGAUAACAGGUUGAUAUUCCUGUACCACCUAUAAUCGUUUUAAUCGAUGGGGGGACGCAGUAGGAUAGGCGAAGCGUGCGAUUGGAUUGCACGUCUAAGCAGUAAGGCUGAGUAUUAGGCAAAUCCGGUACUCGUUAAGGCUGAGCUGUGAUGGGGAGAAGACAUUGNGUCUUCGAGUCGUUGAUUUCACACUGCCGAGAAAAGCCUCUAGAUAGAAAAUAGGUGCCCGUACCGCAAACCGACACAGGUAGUCAAGAUGAGAAUUCUAAGGUGAGCGAGCGAACUCUCGUUAAGGAACUCGGCAAAAUGACCCCGUAACUUCGGGAGAAGGGGUGCUCUUUAGGGUUAACGCCCAGAAGAGCCGCAGUGAAUAGGCCCAAGCGACUGUUUAUCAAAAACACAGGUCUCUGCUAAACCGUAAGGUGAUGUAUAGGGGCUGACGCCUGCCCGGUGCUGGAAGGUUAAGAGGAGUGGUUAGCUUCUGCGAAGCUACGAAUCGAAGCCCCAGUAAACGGCGGCCGUAACUAUAACGGUCCUAAGGUAGCGAAAUUCCUUGUCGGGUAAGUUCCGACCCGCACGAAAGGCGUAACGAUUUGGGCACUGUCUCAACGAGAGACUCGGUGAAAUCAUAGUACCUGUGAAGAUGCAGGUUACCCGCGACAGGACGGAAAGACCCCGUGGAGCUUUACUGUAGCCUGAUAUUGAAAUUCGGCACAGCUUGUACAGGAUAGGUAGGAGCCUUUGAAACGUGAGCGCUAGCUUACGUGGAGGCGCUGGUGGGAUACUACCCUAGCUGUGUUGGCUUUCUAACCCGCACCACUUAUCGUGGUGGGAGACAGUGUCAGGCGGGCAGUUUGACUGGGGCGGUCGCCUCCUAAAAGGUAACGGAGGCGCUCAAAGGUUCCCUCAGAAUGGUUGGAAAUCAUUCAUAGAGUGUAAAGGCAUAAGGGAGCUUGACUGCGAGACCUACAAGUCGAGCAGGGUCGAAAGACGGACUUAGUGAUCCGGUGGUUCCGCAUGGAAGGGCCAUCGCUCAACGGAUAAAAGCUACCCCGGGGAUAACAGGCUUAUCUCCCCCAAGAGUUCACAUCGACGGGGAGGUUUGGCACCUCGAUGUCGGCUCAUCGCAUCCUGGGGCUGUAGUCGGUCCCAAGGGUUGGGCUGUUCGCCCAUUAAAGCGGUACGCGAGCUGGGUUCAGAACGUCGUGAGACAGUUCGGUCCCUAUCCGUCGUGGGCGUAGGAAAUUUGAGAGGAGCUGUCCUUAGUACGAGAGGACCGGGAUGGACAUACCUCUGGUGUACCAGUUGUCGUGCCAACGGCAUAGCUGGGUAGCUAUGUGUGGACGGGAUAAGUGCUGAAAGCAUCUAAGCAUGAAGCCCCCCUCAAGAUGAGAUUUCCCAACUUCGGUUAUAAGAUCCCUCAAAGAUGAUGAGGUUAAUAGGUUCGAGGUGGAAGCAUGGUGACAUGUGGAGCUGACGAAUACUAAUCGAUCGAAGACUUAAUCAA
RNAcentral lists this ribosomal RNA (2921 nucleotides) under Staphylococcus aureus. RNAcentral's name for it is "23S ribosomal RNA". It matches the Rfam family "Bacterial large subunit ribosomal RNA". The record is from RNAcentral. Lineage: Bacteria; Bacillati; Bacillota; Bacilli; Caryophanales; Staphylococcaceae.